GAUGGGAGCUUGCUCCCUGAUGUUAGCGGCGGACGGGUGAGUAACACGUGGGUAACCUGCCUGUAAGACUGGGAUAACUCCGGGAAACCGGGGCUAAUACCGGAUGGUUGUUUGAACCGCAUGGUUCAAACAUAAAAGGUGGCUUCGGCUACCACUUACAGAUGGACCCGCGGCGCAUUAGCUAGUUGGUGAGGUAACGGCUCACCAAGGCAACGAUGCGUAGCCGACCUGAGAGGGUGAUCGGCCACACUGGGACUGAGACACGGCCCAGACUCCUACGGGAGGCAGCAGUAGGGAAUCUUCCGCAAUGGACGAAAGUCUGACGGAGCAACGCCGCGUGAGUGAUGAAGGUUUUCGGAUCGUAAAGCUCUGUUGUUAGGGAAGAACAAGUACCGUUCGAAUAGGGCGGUACCUUGACGGUACCUAACCAGAAAGCCACGGCUAACUACGUGCCAGCAGCCGCGGUAAUACGUAGGUGGCAAGCGUUGUCCGGAAUUAUUGGGCGUAAAGGGCUCGCAGGCGGUUUCUUAAGUCUGAUGUGAAAGCCCCCGGCUCAACCGGGGAGGGUCAUUGGAAACUGGGGAACUUGAGUGCAGAAGAGGAGAGUGGAAUUCCACGUGUAGCGGUGAAAUGCGUAGAGAUGUGGAGGAACACCAGUGGCGAAGGCGACUCUCUGGUCUGUAACUGACGCUGAGGAGCG
This 700-nucleotide ribosomal RNA is filed under the name Bacillus sp. (in: firmicutes). Its description in RNAcentral is "bacterial SSU rRNA". It matches the Rfam family "Bacterial small subunit ribosomal RNA", at positions 71 to 755 of the family's 1533-position model. The record is from RNAcentral. Lineage: Bacteria; Bacillati; Bacillota; Bacilli; Caryophanales; Bacillaceae. RNAcentral also lists the same sequence under 1 other name.